GCCAUACUACGGUGCAUCCCGGUGCAAAGUAAACGAUGACCCUCGGGGAACUCCAGGGUAAAAUACGUGUCAAUUUGAAAACCGUUCCUGACCUGGGGCAUUGCCCCGGGUCAGUUUUCUU
This 121-nucleotide small RNA is filed under the name uncultured Buttiauxella sp. RNAcentral describes it as "Enterobacteria greA leader". It matches the Rfam family "Enterobacteria greA leader". The record is from RNAcentral. Lineage: Bacteria; Pseudomonadati; Pseudomonadota; Gammaproteobacteria; Enterobacterales; Enterobacteriaceae.